GUUCCUUGAUAGCUCAGUUGGUAGAGCAUGAGACUCUGAAUCUCGGGGUCAUGGGUUCAAGCCCAACAUUGAACA
This is a non-coding RNA of Podarcis lilfordi (Lilford's wall lizard), 75 nucleotides long. The record is from the annotation of a GenBank genome assembly. Lineage: Eukaryota; Metazoa; Chordata; Lepidosauria; Squamata; Lacertidae.